This is a long non-coding RNA of Ananas comosus (pineapple), 336 nucleotides long. RefSeq lists it as uncharacterized. The record is from RefSeq and is a predicted model, not a curated record. NCBI's taxonomy places the organism in Eukaryota, Viridiplantae, Streptophyta, Magnoliopsida, Poales, Bromeliaceae. The transcript has 4 exons.
UUGAUGCAGUUUGAGCUUUUCUCUUCCCAGCAGGUUUGCGAAUCACAUUAAGCUCUUUUGGUGACCUGGGAGGCUAGUUUAGAAGGUGUUCUACCCUGAGCGAGAGGGUAAUUGACUCUUGGACUGUCUUCGACUGGCAUUGGAGGGCCUUUUGGAAACUUAAUUUGAGCUGCGUCGAGGCUCCGUUGAGCAGGGUUCGGGACUCCUUUUAGCUGGAUUGAGCUUGGUGAUAGAGCCUUCCACCGCGGGAAAGGCUAGGGUUCUUGGCAAGGGGUCUGCGGCUAGUUAGAGCCUUUUUGGACGUGUACUAGAUGACCUCCACCAGUUUAUAUAGUU